GUUGUAGAGAAUUUUCGUUUUUGGAUUGGAUUAGAGUCAAGGAAUGGCAUUAAUUAUGAGUGGCAAUCUAAAAAUACCACAGAAUCAAACAGGUUUGACGAUUGGAAAGAGGGAAAUCCAAAUGACAUUGGAGUUGACACUUGUGCUUUUAUGUGGAGUUUAAAGUGGUAUGACACAUAUAGAAGCCAAUGCAAGCGUAAUGAUGAAUAUUUUAUAUGUGAAUCAAGGUAGGAUAUGUUAUCAUUUUUAAUAGUUAUAUAUAACUGAUUUGGUUUUUUUUUUCAUUUUGUUUUUAAAUAAGAUAUUUCUUUGUGUUAAAUCUACUUAAUCUGAUUGCUCAACACAAAACACAAAUAAACAAUACACAAGCACGAAUAUAAAUAUGCUAUUCUAGAACAUGUUAAGCAAAAGUAUUUUGUCAAUUGAUCUUACAAUAAGAUAUAUGCCAUUGUAUUGAAAAUUCUAUAACAUCUAUGAGAUUAAAAGAAAAAAAUGCCAUUCAACGUAUACUAUUUAAACUAAUGAUGUGUAUUACAAAUGACAUACUCAAAAUUACUGGACAGUAUUUCAGAAAGAACCAAUUUCCCAAAUUCAAUUCUUAAAAAUUACAUUCAAUGCCACUGCUAGUGGAGUUAUUAUUCCCCGAGGGUAUCACUAGCCCAGUAGUCUUCACUUCUGUGUUGUUAUCAUUUAUCAUUGAUAUGGUCAUAAUAAAAAAUAACUGUCAACAAAACUUUCCAUUAUGAAAAUACUAAGAUUUUUUUUUCCUACAGAAUAUAUUACUUUAGCUGUACUUGGCCCAAUUUUAGGAAUUGUUGGGUCUAAAUGCUGUUCAAUUUCGUACUUUAUUUGGCCUUUAACAUGUUUUUGUUUCAAGCGUCACAUGUCAUGGUGAUAAAUCUUUUGAAGACACAUUGCUUUAUAUACAGGUUGUCUUCACAAUGACAUAUUUAAAGCAUGAGUCUUUGGUUUUAAUGGGACAAACAUAUACUCAUAUACAGCAAAAUUGAAUACUGUGAAAAUUAUUACAGAUGGUCUGAUGUAGAAUUAUAUAGAUGAAAUAUAAUAUAACAGGAUUUUUGUUUUCUCGUUUGUAUUUCCCCGACAAAUGUGAUACUGAAAUAAUGCCAGAAAACCUAGGUUAUCAUGGUUACUACCCUGGGCAAACAAAAUGCGCUCAAGAUCAAAAGAAAAAUGAGGACUUAAAUUGUCGUAUGGUUAACAAUACAUAACAUGAUCAUACAUAUGUUUACACUUUCUUCGUACGACUACCUGACUAUGUUUUUAUUAUAUGCAUUAAUAGAGCAUAGUCCAGUAUAGAUACCAGUAACUCUUAUUAUUUUCUAAAAUUUCACCAAUCUCUUCUUAAAAUAACACAUAUCUUAUUUUCUACUUUGCAGGUUUGACUAACUACCAUGACGACAAUGACCAGCUCAGGAGAACAUACCGUCAAAAUAAAAUCUCAAAAAAAACUUUAUAACUGUAUAGCAUUGUUUUUUUGUCAUGCCCCUCUCCCUUCGAAUAUGUGCCAUUUGAUUUUGUAAGAUUAUUAGAAUGAUGAAGUGGAUAGGAGA
RNAcentral lists this long non-coding RNA (1574 nucleotides) under Mytilus galloprovincialis (Mediterranean mussel). The record is from RNAcentral. Lineage: Eukaryota; Metazoa; Mollusca; Bivalvia; Mytilida; Mytilidae.